GCUCCCAUGGCAUAGUGUCACCUGUGCUCGCGUUGCACGCGGGAGACCCGGGUUCGAUUCCCGGCGGGGUCA
RNAcentral lists this transfer RNA (72 nucleotides) under Diaphorina citri (Asian citrus psyllid). It matches the Rfam family "tRNA". From Rfam's summary of the family: Transfer RNA (tRNA) molecules are approximately 80 nucleotides in length. Their secondary structure includes four short double-helical elements and three loops (D, anti-codon, and T loops). The record is from Rfam by way of RNAcentral. Lineage: Eukaryota; Metazoa; Arthropoda; Insecta; Hemiptera; Psyllidae.